Phascolarctos cinereus (koala) is the source of this 892-nucleotide non-coding RNA. The record is from RefSeq and is a predicted model, not a curated record. Lineage: Eukaryota; Metazoa; Chordata; Mammalia; Diprotodontia; Phascolarctidae.
AAAUAUUUAUGGACCGUCCCUUUAAUAUUAUGGUCUUAAAUUUUGUCAUAAAUCUAAAGUUAAAACCCAUAUUUCCACAGAUUCCAUUCUUUUCCCUGUGACCACCAGCACCUGUCUAUUCAAAAUAGAAGCUAGGGCGAUGGGUGGAUUUGGGACUGGCAGAUGUCCAGUGGGAUGCUGGUGGCUAUGACGUAACUACACUUAACACUUUCAAGAAGAUAUUGCCUCCCUAUUCUUUCCUACUUCACAAUGUACAAUUAAACUGAUUUUAAGGUUCUGAAAACUGGGAGAAGGAGAAACUAAAUGUCCAAGAUCACCAGGUAAUAAUAGGCUUUAAAAUGACACCAUCAAAGAAGGGAUGGUUGAAAAAGAUGGACUGGUCACAAGGAAGAAUAGAUAGACAAUUGAUAUACAACCUGUGUGCUCUACCCAUGUUCUUGAAAUGUCAAGAUAAAGUAUGGAAGAUCUCCAGCAUGUUGGAUGGACUUAGGUCAAACCAAUAGAAGAACAUGGACAAGAAUAUUUUUGGGACAGGCAUGAAUGCAUUUUGUUCUGCAUUGUUGGAGAAAACAUCCACAUUGGAAUGAAUGUGAUGCCUUUCUACCAACCAUCAGAGCCUGUUUGGCAUGAGCUUGGUGCCAAGAAACCUGGAAUCAAAUUCUGACUAAAAUACUUAACUAGCUGUGUGACCCUGGGCAAGUCACUUUUCCUCAAUUGCAAAAUUUGGAUAAUAAUAUUCUCAGUGUUUACUUCUCUGGAUCAUUGUGAUGGAAGUGUUUUGUAAACCUUAAAGAAUUAUAUAAAUGUGAAUGCCUAAAUCAAUUUAACAAGAGGAUUUAGAAUCUGCUAUAUGCUGUACGACCUAUAUCAAAUUGCUUACCAUCUCAAGGAA